RNAcentral lists this ribosomal RNA (1481 nucleotides) under uncultured prokaryote. RNAcentral describes it as "partial 16S ribosomal RNA". It matches the Rfam family "Bacterial small subunit ribosomal RNA". The record is from RNAcentral.
AGAGUUUGAUCAUGGCUCAGGAUGAACGCUAGCGGCAGGCUUAAUACAUGCAAGUCGAGGGGUAAGGUUUACUUCGGUAAAUACACGACCGGCGCACGGGGGAGUAACGCGUAUGCAACCUACCUAUAACAGAGGGAUAGCCCGAAGAAAUUCGGGAUUAAUACCCCAUAAUAUUUAGAUUUGGCAUCAGAUUUAAAUUAAAACUCCGGUGGUUUGAGAUGGGCAUGCGUGACAUUAGCUAGUUGGUAAGGUAAUGGCUUACCAAGGCUACGAUGUCUAGGGGUUCUGAGAGGAUGAUCCCCCACACUGGUACUGAGACACGGACCAGACUCCUACGGGAGGCAGCAGUCAGGAAUAUUGGUCAAUGGGCGCAAGCCUGAACCAGCCAUCCCGCGUGUAGGAAGACUGCCCUAUGGGUUGUAAACUACUUUUAUAAAGGAAGAAACCCUUCUACGUGUAGAAGGCUGACUGUACUUUACGAAUAAGCACCGGCUAACUCCGUGCCAGCAGCCGCGGUAAUACGGAGGGUGCAAGCGUUAUCCGGAUUCAUUGGGUUUAAAGGGUGCGCAGGCGGACCUGUUAGUCAGUGGUGAAAUCCCGGGGCUCAACUCCGGAACUGCCAUUGAUACUGCAGGUCUUGAAUACGGUUGAAGUAGGCGGAAUGUAGCAUGUAGCGGUGAAAUGCAUAGAUAUGCUACAGAACACCGAUCGCGAAGGCAGCUUACUAAGCCGAUAUUGACGUUCAGGCACGAAAGCGUGGGUAGCGAACAGGAUUAGAUACCCUGGUAGUCCACGCCGUAAACGAUGAUCACUCGUUGUUGGCAAUACACAGUCAGUGACUAAGGGAAACCGAUAAGUGAUCCACCUGGGGAGUACGAUCGCAAGGUUGAAACUCAAAGGAAUUGACCGGGGGCCCGCACAAGCGGUGGAUUAUGUGGUUUAAUUCGAUCCAACGCGAAGAACCUUACCUGGGCUCAAAUGUAGAGUGACAACCCCCGAAAGGGGGCUUUCUUCGGACACUUUACAAGGUGCUGCAUGGUUGUCGUCAGCUCGUGCCGUGAGGUGUCGGGUUAAGUCCCAUAACGAGCGCAACCCCUACUCUUAGUUGCCAGCAUGUAAUGAUGGGGACUCUAAGAGAACUGCCUACGCAAGUAGAGAGGAAGGUGGGGAUGACGUCAAAUCAGCACGGCCCUUACGUCCAGGGCUACACACGUGCUACAAUGGCCGGUACAGAGGGCAGCCACCACGCGAGUGGGAGCAAAUCUCCAAAGCCGGUCUCAGUUCGGAUCGAAGUCUGCAACCCGACUUCGUGAAGCUGGAAUCGCUAGUAAUCGCGCAUCAGCCAUGGCGCGGUGAAUACGUUCCCGGGCCUUGUACACACCGCCCGUCAAGCCAUGGAAGCUGGGAGUACCUGAAGUCGGUAACCGUUAAGGAGCCGCCUAGGGUAAAACUAGUGACUGGGGCUAAGUCGUAACAAGGUA